This 430-nucleotide ribosomal RNA is filed under the name uncultured bacterium. RNAcentral's name for it is "bacterial SSU rRNA". It matches the Rfam family "Bacterial small subunit ribosomal RNA", at positions 29 to 506 of the family's 1533-position model. The record is from RNAcentral.
AACGAACGCUGGCGGCAUGCCUAACACAUGCAAGUCGAACGCGUGGCUUCGGCCACGAGUGGCGCACGGGUGAGUAACGCGUGGGAACCUGCCCAUCGGUACGGAACAACCGCGGGAAACUGCGGCUGAUACCGUAUAUACCCUGCGGGGAAAGAUUUAUCGCCGAUGGAGGGGCCCGCGUCGGAUUAGGUAGUUGGUGGGGUAACGGCCUACCAAGCCUGCGAUCCGUAGCUGGUCUGAGAGGAUGAUCAGCCACACUGGGACUGAGACACGGCCAGACUCCUACGGGAGGCAGCAGUGGGAAUAUUGGACAAUGGGGGCAACCCUGAUCCAGCAAUGCCGCGUGAGUGAAGAAGGCCUUAGGGUUGUAAAGCUCUUUCGGCGGGACGAUGAUGACGGUACCCGCAGAAGAAGCCCCGGCUAACUCCGU